This 548-nucleotide ribosomal RNA is filed under the name uncultured organism. Its description in RNAcentral is "SSU rRNA". It matches the Rfam family "Bacterial small subunit ribosomal RNA", at positions 848 to 1396 of the family's 1533-position model. The record is from RNAcentral.
GUAGCUAACGCAAUAAGCGCCCCGCCUGGGGAGUACGGCCGCAAGGCUAAAACUCAAAGAAAUUGACGGGGGCCCGCACAAGCGGCGGAGCAUGUGGAUUAAUUCGAUGCAACGCGAAGAACCUUACCUGGGCUUGACAUAUAGAGGAUCGCUACAGAGAUGUGGUUUCCCUUGUGGCUUCUAUACAGGUGGUGCAUGGUUGUCGUCAGCUCGUGUCGUGAGAUGUUGGGUUAAGUCCCGCAACGAGCGCAACCCUUGUCUUAUGUUGCCAGCACGUUAUGGUGGGGACUCGUGAGAGACUGCCGGGGUCAACUCGGAGGAAGGUGGGGAUGACGUCAAAUCAUUAUGCCCCUUAUGUCCAGGGCUUCACACAUGCUACAAUGGCCGGUACAGAGGGCUGCGAUGCCGUGAGGCGGAGCGAAUCUCUUAAAGCCGGUCUCAGUUCGGAUUGGGGUCUGCAACUCGACCCCAUGAAGUCGGAGUCGCUAGUAAUCGCAGAUCAGCAACGCUGCGGUGAAUACGUUCCCGGGCCUUGUACACACCGCCCG